GGCUUAGGGGAAAGUCCCCUUAGGGAAGUCCCUAUUGACCCAGGAAGUCCAGCCAACUUAGCCACUUAGUCCCUCAGCCCUGGCUUGUGGAAGCAGAGAUUCCUAAUACGGCCCUCACUUCUCCACUUUCUCCACUGGGGUUGGAAGCAGUAGGAGUAGCUAUAGAGGAUGUAUUAACACCAAUUUACAGAGAUCCUAUUGAAUUUACAUCUCUCCAGCAGGUGUGAUGCAAGGAAAACAAAGCUAAUACCCAAAGUCUUUGAGCGUGGAAAGAGAGAAAGUCCACUUUAAGCGAUGGAAAAUCAGCCCCAAUUCUGAAGGAACAACCAUGAACAGAUGAUUUAAGGAGAAUCAAUUCUUUGCUCUUUGCAGAAGGAGCCAACAGAGUGAGAUGAAGGGGACAACUUCAGAUACUCAGGCAGAAGCAUAAGUCCCCACCUGCUGACCUGCUGCCUGCUAUCUUAACACGAAUUCUUCAUCUGAAUGGAUGAGCUUUUCACAGAGUUCCAAACUAAGGAAUCCAGGAGUGGCCAAUCCAGAGAUUCAUUCCUUAUCUUUGACGAACAUCUGAACUCCUGGCUCAUCCUGUGGAAUUCAGGCCAUACAGGAGAUCAAGGUCAUUUGCUUUGGGUUAAAUGAAUGUUGCCAGGUGGAGGUUGCUAGAGGGAGAGUGCUAUGUGAAAGUGCUGUAUAAACUGCUUGCUUUUCACAAACAGUAGUGAUUCUUUAUCCUGUCCAGCCUGCCACAACUGGACCAUCCUGUAUGUAAGUCCCCUUAAUAAAUCCUGUGUCUCAUUCACUGGCUUCAAGUCUCUUCCUGGGCCUCUUGAACGUGGUGCCACCUGUAUUGAAGUCAACAGAAGUUCAGCACAACACAGGUCAAAAUGAAGAUUCUGACUCAGUAGGUCAGGAUGUUCUAACGAGCUCUAGCUGACAUGAUACGUCAGGGCUGCAGACUAGCUUUGAGCAACAAGGUGCUAGAGAAAUACCUAUAGAACAACAGAGAUGCAAGACAAAUGAGUUGGAAGUUAAAAGAUUUAAAUUCUUGUCUUAGUUUUCUCAUUAAAGAAAAGCUGUGUGACUAUGAAAAAAAAUGGCUCUCUGAGACUUUUGUUUGCUCAUCCAAGAUGAAAAUAUUGAAAUGUAUUAUACAAUAAACAUUUGCAAACAG
Molecule: long non-coding RNA, 1171 nt
Filed under: Homo sapiens (human)
Lineage: Eukaryota; Metazoa; Chordata; Mammalia; Primates; Hominidae
Description: HSALNT0319141
Source: RNAcentral